GCAAAUGACUCUUAAUCAUUGGGUCGAGGGUUCGAGUCCCUCCGAGGUCA
RNAcentral lists this transfer RNA (50 nucleotides) under Porphyromonadaceae bacterium. RNAcentral's name for it is "tRNA-Ser". It matches the Rfam family "tRNA", at positions 23 to 71 of the family's 71-position model. Rfam says of the family: Transfer RNA (tRNA) molecules are approximately 80 nucleotides in length. Their secondary structure includes four short double-helical elements and three loops (D, anti-codon, and T loops). Lineage: Bacteria; Pseudomonadati; Bacteroidota; Bacteroidia; Bacteroidales; Porphyromonadaceae. The record is from RNAcentral.